Molecule: long non-coding RNA, 1612 nt
Organism: Marmota monax (woodchuck)
Lineage: Eukaryota; Metazoa; Chordata; Mammalia; Rodentia; Sciuridae
Exons: 2
Source: RefSeq, a predicted model, not a curated record
GAUGUGACGAAAACCAGGAGGGAAAGUGAAACCCUUCCUUCCUGGCUUCAGUGGGGAACAAGUUCUUGUGCCAGACGGGUUCUUCCUUCCUCUUGAGGGACUCUGGAGACCUUGGGCCCACCGCUUCCUUCCUGCUUGGUUAUUUCAGGAAAGAGGGGAUCAAACCCAGGACCUUGUGCAAGCUAGGCAAGUAAUCCACCACUGAGCUACACCCCUAUCCCUUUUUAUCUUGAGACAGGGUCUAACUCCUGCCUCAGCCUCUAGGGUACUGGAUUACAGGUGUGCACCACUGCACCUAGCUCCUUGGGCUCUGUGGUCCAAAGCAGCUUCUCCUUCCUUGCCACCCAAGGGUGUGCCCGCCCCUUCUUCUGGAGCCACUUAAUGAUGGACGUGGUGGAGGACGAGCACUGGCAGAUGGUCAGUGGAGGAGGUUUUGUGUCCCAGCUCUCUCACUAGUUUGCUUGGGGAGAAUCCAUUCCCUGUCUGGGAGGACAGUACCUCACAGGGACCCUGCUGGGCUGUGGCAUGAGGAGGAAGAUGAAAGGAACUCUCUCACGGACAGAUGAGCAACUGCCCACUGCCCGGCUGGCUGUCUCAAGGGUGUCCAAAAGAUCCAGUAACUAGUGUCUACAGUAAGAAGCAACACUCAAGAGCAGAAGGACAUGCCACAGGAAGCUCUGAUCCUUCUUCACCUACAAGCCUGUUGAGUCUCACCCUCAGGCUUGAGGAAUCCAGGGGAAGAGGGCAGCGGGCACAUCCCUUUGAGUGGUCAGGGCAAGCUCCUUUGAGUGGUCAGCCUUGCUGGGCCAGCCCUGGUGGCCUCAACCUCAUCACCCCAGCACUGCUUCAAACUAGUCCAGACAAGUCCUGGGUAUUUUCAGCCACCUUUAUCUGAUAGGAAAUGUUUGGAAUUCCACAGAGGGCAAGAGCUCUGGAGGAUUUGGGGAUGGGUGCAAAUCCCUGCAACACUCUUCCCUCCUGCUCUCCUCCCCCCACCACAUGCGAAUGUGCACAUACACUCUCCAAGUAACCAAAAACUCAGUGCUGCGGGCUCCUGCAGGGCUGCAUUUCCCACAUUCCAGCUCCUUUAGUCUUCUUCCCUUUUCAUCUCUGCAAUCCCCCCCUCAAGGUGCGGGCUUGCAAGAUGCCUGAGCUGAUGCCCGCGGGGCUGGGUACUCUGCUGUCACUGAGAGAAGGGACAUUCAGAGGUGUGCUGGUUAUAGGCAAUGCCCAGAGCACUGGUAAACUGCAGAAGAAUGCUGCCACCACCACUAGAGACCUAGAAGCAACUCACUGUCCCACCUGAAGUGGAACAUGGAACAUGGAAUGUGUGAUCUGCGGUUUAACCCCCUUCCUGAGCAAACGGGACACCGAGACCCAGAUGAGGUAAAGAGACACCCUGCAAGGUCUCACAGAGGAUUAGCACAGAGCCUGGCCUCAGGCCUCCUGAUCCCUGGGGUCAGCAGAGUGGCUUCCAAACCCAGUUCUGGGAGGUCUGGGCUGCUGGACCAGGGGCCAGACCCUUUACUCUCUGAGCCCAGUGUUUGGCUAAAAUGAGAACAGCUGAAUCUAUUUCACAGCCUUGGCAGAAUUAAAUGGUCCAUAGUAAGCA